Sander lucioperca (pikeperch) is the source of this 446-nucleotide long non-coding RNA. RefSeq lists it as uncharacterized. The transcript is spliced from 3 exons. NCBI's taxonomy places the organism in Eukaryota, Metazoa, Chordata, Actinopteri, Perciformes, Percidae. The record is from RefSeq and is a predicted model, not a curated record.
CUUUUGAUGUUAAACAGGGUACUUAGACUUUGGCAGUAAUGUUUUAAACCCCACCAUACACGCAAGUUUAAACGCGAGCAGCACAGCUGUGUGCCUGGCUGCUUUCAGCGCGAUUCAUUUAGGCAGAGCUAAGCGGGUGAGUUGCUUUAUAAAAGUGUAUUUUUUUGGUCUUGUAAUUUACAGGAAGCAGUAUGCCGUCUUCACAACUCGGAGACAAAUUGUAGGUGCUACGAACCGGAGCAAGGAUUAACCUCGCCUCAUAACGAGGCCGUGACCUAUAUUUGCUCGGAGCAAGUCCAGAUUUACAUGAUGUUGACAAUGACGGCAUGGUGUCUGCCUGUAAUUACGAGACAGUAAGCAGGAGCUUCAGGUAGAAACAACCAUAUCUUGCAUCGCAGGCGGAAGCUGUGAAGAGUUCAGCUCAGAGUCCAGCGAGAAGAAAGAGG